Molecule: long non-coding RNA, 1366 nt
Organism: Rhagoletis zephyria (snowberry fruit fly)
Lineage: Eukaryota; Metazoa; Arthropoda; Insecta; Diptera; Tephritidae
Source: RefSeq, a predicted model, not a curated record
GCAAUAAUACUAAUAACUAUACAAUUAAUAAGAAAAAAUAAUAAUGAAAAUUAAGAAAUGCAAAAAUAACAUUUCUAUUGAUUGUAAGCUCAUGUGAAUAAGUGUUUUCAAAUUUUGAAAUAAAUUCUUAAACAUUUGAAUGUUUUAGGUUAAUUUGAAGGUGGAACCAGCGCCAGAAAGAAGCCGAAAAAAUUUAAUAAAAAGAAAAAAAACUUGUUGCAGCCCUGAAGUUGUUUUCAAAGAUUGCCGAAGUACAGAUAUCACUACAAGCAAGCUUAUGCCAUCAUAGACAUAUGUAUUUUCAUUGAAGGCGAGAGGUAUUAAAAUAACACCAAUCUUAACCGCCCACCGAUUCGAAUAACUUACAUAUUUCAAAAGUAACAUUGAAGUCUCGCGACUCGUACGAUCAAUGAGAAUUAUCUACGCAGAAAUAAAGCUCUACUUCAAGCUGCACUUUGGCGGGAUUUCAUUCAUUAUAGCCUAAACCUAGUUUAGCGGAUUUCUUGCCUGAUAUAUUCACUUCGAAAAAAUAAAAGAGCUUAUUUAUACUCAAGAAGAGCUGAUACACUGCUAGGCUUUUCGAAGCGAAGUAUAUUGAAGUCCCUCUUUGUAUCAAGUAAGAAAGCUAUUAAGAGCGUUUUUGGAACCUAAAAGCACUUAAAAGAAGUUGCGAUAAAAGGAAGAUGCUGCGCUCGAGUAAACUUAACCAUGACAGUUCCCACAAAGAAGAAGUCUAACCCCAAAACCAGUUCUCGCGAAUGAUUAGUCAUUACUAUAUAGAUAAGUACAUUAAUUUAAAUAUUAUACUGCGAAAUUGAACGAAUUAGGUGGAAAAAAUCUCUGCGAAUCGGCAUGACAACGAAUUGAAUCUUGCAUGCUGAAUGAAAAGCCUCGUAUUAUACAACAAAAAUCUGGCUCAUUCCUGUAAAUCUAUGAAACAACUCGUAUCAGCCACACGUUUUUUUGGUACCUCUGGUUUGCUGAGUAAAACAAUGGCGGAGAGCUUGCUUGUAGAAUGGGAUCUUAGACUCGUCUAUUACCACAAAAGUUAAUUAUCUCAAAGCUACUUGCCUAUCAGUUAUGCUUAUUUUUCAAUGGGUUUUUAAAUAACCUCGAGCACCAAAACAACCAGCAAUCAAUCAUGUGAUUCGCCAUAUUCAAGAAAAAAUCCCUACAUAAGUACACACAGAAAGUAAGCUGGAGAUAUAUGUAUAUACACAUCCGAGCGCAGAAAUUUCCAAGAAAUAUCCCAAAAAAAAGAAAGGGGUAAGUACUCGAGCGAAAGAGACAAAUGUUUAACUUCUGACUAAAUAAAGACGAGGGGUGGUUAAGGCAGGUAAAAUAUGAGCAAGAGAGCGCUAAUGGC